GUGCUCACUUCAGCAGCACAUAUGCUAGAAUUGGAAUGAUGCCGAGAUUAGCACAGCCCCUGAGCAAAGGUGAUACGUGAAUUCAUGAAGUGUUCCAUAUAUCU
Molecule: small nuclear RNA, 104 nt
Organism: Homo sapiens (human)
Lineage: Eukaryota; Metazoa; Chordata; Mammalia; Primates; Hominidae
Source: Ensembl